GUAGGGAAUCUUCCGCAAUGGACGAAAGUCUGACGGAGCAACGCCGCGUGAGUGAUGAAGGUUUUCGGAUCGUAAAGCUCUGUUGUUAGGGAAGAACAAGUGCGAGAGUAACUGCUCGCACCUUGACGGUACCUAACCAGAAAGCCACGGCUAACUACGUGCCAGCAGCCGCGGUAAUACGUAGGUGGCAAGCGUUGUCCGGAAUUAUUGGGCGUAAAGGGCUCGCAGGCGGUUUCUUAAGUCUGAUGUGAAAGCCCCCGGCUCAACCGGGGAGGGUCAUUGGAAACUGGGAAACUUGAGUGCAGAAGAGGAGAGUGGAAUUCCACGUGUAGCGGUGAAAUGCGUAGAGAUGUGGAGGAACACCAGUGGCGAAGGCGACUCUCUGGUCUGUAACUGACGCUGAGGAGCGAAAGCGUGGGGAGCGAACAGGAUUAGAUACCCCAGUAGUCC
RNAcentral lists this ribosomal RNA (450 nucleotides) under uncultured bacterium. Its description in RNAcentral is "partial 16S ribosomal RNA". It matches the Rfam family "Bacterial small subunit ribosomal RNA", at positions 354 to 796 of the family's 1533-position model. The record is from RNAcentral.